AAAAGUUUAAUUAAAUAAUAAUAAUAUUAGAUUGUCAAACUAAAAUUACACUAAGUGUAACUUUUA
RNAcentral lists this transfer RNA (66 nucleotides) under Scydosella musawasensis. RNAcentral's name for it is "tRNA-Asp". The record is from RNAcentral. Lineage: Eukaryota; Metazoa; Arthropoda; Insecta; Coleoptera; Ptiliidae.